Molecule: ribosomal RNA, 253 nt
Filed under: uncultured bacterium
Lineage: Bacteria
Description: partial 16S ribosomal RNA
Rfam family: Bacterial small subunit ribosomal RNA
Source: RNAcentral
UACAGAGGUCCCAAGCGUUGUUCGGAUUCAUUGGGCGUAAAGGGUGCGUAGGCGGCGCGGUAAGUCGGGUGUGAAAUCUCGGAGCUUAACUCCGAAACUGCAUUCGAUACUGGCGUGCUUGAGGACUGGAGAGGAGACUGGAAUUCAUGGUGUAGCAGUGAAAUGCGUAGAGAUCAUGAGGAAGACCAGUGGCGAAGGCGGGUCUCUGGACAGUUCCUGACACUGAGGCACGAAGGCCAGGGGAGCAAACGGG